Molecule: long non-coding RNA, 1594 nt
Filed under: Panax ginseng (ginseng)
Lineage: Eukaryota; Viridiplantae; Streptophyta; Magnoliopsida; Apiales; Araliaceae
Description: long non-coding RNA (PGIN_LNC009534)
Source: RNAcentral
CUUAUUUCCUAAAUUUAUAAAUAGCCAUUGGUAUACAAAAAACUGUCUUUGUUGAAUGUUUUUACACUUCACAAUCAAUUAUUAGUUAUUGGUAUUGAAAUUUAAUGUAUUAGAACCCCUCCUCAUUUCCCGACUUUUGCAGUAUGGUGAACAGAGAAUCCUUGCUUCUUAGCUAGCCAGUAGUAUCCGUCUCCAACAGUGCAUGGCUUGGCUUGGUAAAAACAUGAAUGCUGUAUGAAAUUACAAGGGAAUGAACUUUGUAAAAACUGUACCAACUUAUAACAACAAUGAAUCAAUAUUUCUUUCACAGGAAAUUAUAAUGGUCACACAUAUAUACAGAAAGAUGACAGGUGUAUCAUUUGCAAACUCUUUUCAAUUCAGAGAGUACACUGAACUAUAUUUUAAUAUUGAGAUCUAUCUAUAACUGCUGUAAAGUCAAAAACCUAGGAGACCGGGAGAGUAGAAAGAAACUAUACAUUGUGCAUGAGAUAAUCACCUGCAUUAAAAAUUUCUUGUCGUCAACAAGUUUCAUUGUUCCACAAUUUCGUGCUGCAAUCAAUAUACCUGCCACCACAUCUUCAAGGUAUAACACAUCCUGACUGGGAAGAGAUGGCUCGAAUGGAACUACACGGUGCCUGAAAAUAUAUUAGUGUUAUGCUUUGUAAGAAAUAUGAAUAAUUCUGGGAAGAAAAUAUGCAGUACAUAGUUUUUAAUGCCCUCUAUUUGAGUACAUACUCACAAAUUCACAAUAAAGAAAAUAAAGAAGUAUUUGCUGAGAAACAUAGAUGAUGGAGAUUGGAGAAUGCCAUUUAUCCCAGCACAAGCUUUUUUUUACUGGCCAUGCUGAGUUGUAAUCUAGCAACUUCAAACCUUAAUCUCAACACAAUUCCACUUUCAACAAGAAGAAUCACUCUUUCCUACUCAACCUAUCGACUUCCAACUCUUUCUUCGUUUUAUUCUGAUAAGAAAAAAUAAAAAUCAAUUUCGACUUGGUUUAACUUUUUAGUUGAGUCUACACCAAUUUUUUUUUGGGAGACUUUGCUUUAGGAGCCGUGUUGGUAAAUUUUGUUGGCUCGUUUGCAUAUAUAUGGUGGGGUUUUGUACUUUGUUUCUCUUUGGUAUAACCUUUAAAAUGACCCCAGCACAUGUUAAGUGUAUAAAUUCUGUAAAUUCCACGUACCCUGACGUCUAAUGUGAGAAAUGUCAAUUAUUAUACACUGCACAAAAUCUAACAAAGGUGCAAAAGCACUCAUAUAUUUUACUCUAUCUUACAUGUAAAAUGAGAGGAAAUUAGUGCAGCCACAAUCUUCAGACCCUGUCAAUAUUGUUAGACAUUCGUAUGUUGUUUGCCUUUCAAGAAAAUCCUUACAGGCUCAGAUCCAUUCUUCCUUGAUACCCUCAUAUAACCAUCCAUCCAUGCCACAGGAGAGGAAGGAAACAGCACAAACUAAAAACUUCCCUCAAAUGCAACUACUGAACUACUACUCCCUCUGUCUCAAUUUAAGUGAGCUUGUUUGACCUGCAGUUUUAGGAGUGAUUACUUUUUUUCUUCAACCAUUGGCUACAGGGAUUACAAUUAUUGAAUAGAGAGAUG